Molecule: small RNA, 101 nt
Filed under: Rhodanobacter spathiphylli
Lineage: Bacteria; Pseudomonadati; Pseudomonadota; Gammaproteobacteria; Lysobacterales; Rhodanobacteraceae
Description: Rhodanobacter sp. Manganese sequence
Rfam family: Manganese Mn2+ riboswitch aptamer (yybP-ykoY)
About the family: This RNA was originally discovered in E. coli during a large scale screen and was named SraF.
Source: RNAcentral
CACUCCGUCGGGGAGUAGUCGCCUUCCGCAUGCCGCGGAAGGGCCUGCGUCAACACGCUCGGCCAGCCGGCCGUGGCGCAGGCGAUGCACCAACCCGCAUC